Molecule: ribosomal RNA, 465 nt
Filed under: Vreelandella stevensii
Lineage: Bacteria; Pseudomonadati; Pseudomonadota; Gammaproteobacteria; Oceanospirillales; Halomonadaceae
Description: partial 16S ribosomal RNA
Rfam family: Bacterial small subunit ribosomal RNA
Source: RNAcentral
CCUACGGGUGGCUGCAGUGGGGAAUAUUGGACAAUGGGCGAAAGCCUGAUCCAGCCAUGCCGCGUGUGUGAAGAAGGCCUUCGGGUUGUAAAGCACUUUCAGUGGGGAAGAAAGCCUUGGGGCUAAUACCCUCGAGGAAGGACAUCACCCACAGAAGGAGCACCGGCUAACUCCGUGCCAGCAGCCGCGGUAAUACGGAGGGUGCGAGCGUUAAUCGGAAUUACUGGGCGUAAAGCGCGCGUAGGCGGUCUGAUAAGCCGGUUGUGAAAGCCCCGGGCUCAACCUGGGAACGGCAUCCGGAACUGUCAGGCUAGAGUGCAGGAGAGGAAGGUAGAAUUCCCGGUGUAGCGGUGAAAUGCGUAGAGAUCGGGAGGAAUACCAGUGGCGAAGGCGGCCUUCUGGACUGACACUGACGCUGAGGUGCGAAAGCGUGGGUAGCAAACAGGAUUAGAUACCCGGGUAGUC